CGGGAAUUUUGGGCAAUGGGCGAAAGCCUGACCCAGCAACGCCGCGUGAGGGAUGAAGUAUUUCGGUAUGUAAACCUCGAAAGAAUGGGAAGAAUAAAUGACGGUACCAUUUAUAAGCUCCGGCUAACUACGUGCCAGCAGCCGCGGUAAUACGUAGGGAGCAAGCGUUGUUCGGAUUUACUGGGCGUAAAGGGCGCGUAGGCGGCGCGGUAAGUCACUUGUGAAAUCUCUGAGCUUAACUCAGAACGGCCAAGUGAUACUGCUGUGCUAGAGUGCGGAAGAGGCUACCGGGAUUCUGGGUGUAGCGGUGAAAUGCGUAGAUAUCAAGAGGAACACCUGAGGCGAAGGCGGGUUGCUGGGCCGACACUGACGCUGAUGCGCGAAAGCCAGGGGAGCAAACG
This 401-nucleotide ribosomal RNA is filed under the name uncultured bacterium. RNAcentral describes it as "bacterial SSU rRNA". It matches the Rfam family "Bacterial small subunit ribosomal RNA", at positions 356 to 774 of the family's 1533-position model. The record is from RNAcentral.